AUGGUGCUCGCCGCCAUUCCCAAUCCAAGGCUUCGCCAUCGGACGCCCCAACUUAUAGGCCCCCGCCCAGGCCGCCACCGGCGCCGCUCCGGUACGGAAAACUCUCCUAUAUUUGCACCUCAUGCUCUACUGUUCGAUGAAAUGUCCGAGCCGAGCAUUACUUCAAGGGCUCCAUCAUGGGUUGGCGCACGGCUUCUUUACACAACCUACUUCACAGCGGUCCCAACAUUUCAUGAAACUUUCUUUCAUCGUUGCUACCGGAUGAGCAGAAACUUGUUCGUGCGGGUAGUGGAAAGGCGUGGAGAAGGUUGA
RNAcentral lists this ribosomal RNA (312 nucleotides) under Triticum aestivum (bread wheat). RNAcentral describes it as "partial small subunit ribosomal RNA". Lineage: Eukaryota; Viridiplantae; Streptophyta; Magnoliopsida; Poales; Poaceae. The record is from RNAcentral.